This 401-nucleotide ribosomal RNA is filed under the name uncultured bacterium. RNAcentral's name for it is "bacterial SSU rRNA". It matches the Rfam family "Bacterial small subunit ribosomal RNA", at positions 470 to 869 of the family's 1533-position model. The record is from RNAcentral.
UGACGGUAUCAUAUGAAUAAGCACCGGCUAACUCCGUGCCAGCAGCCGCGGUAAUACGGGGGGUGCAAGCGUUACUCGGAAUCACUGGGCGUAAAGAGCAUGUAGGCGGGUGAAUAAGUUGGAAGUGAAAUCCUAUAGCUUAACUAUAGAACUGCUUCCAAAACUGUUCACCUAGAGUAUGGGAGAGGUAGAUGGAAUUUCUGGUGUAGGGGGUAAAAUCCGUAGAGAUCAGAAGGAAUACCGAUUGCGAAGGCGAUCUACUGGAACAUUACUGACGCUCAGAUGCGAAAGCGUGGGGAGCAAACAGGAUUAGAUACCCUGGUAGUCCACGCCCUAAACGAUGUACACUAGUUGUUGCUAUACUAGAUAUGGCAGUAAUGCAGUUAACACUUUAAGUGUAC